UACGUAGGGUGCAAGCGUUAAUCGGAAUCACUGGGCGUAAAGCGUGCGCAGGCGGUUUUGUAAGUCUGUCGUGAAAGCCCCGGGCUCAACCUGGGAAUUGCGAUGGAGACUGCAAGGCUUGAAUCUGGCAGAGGGGGGUAGAAUUCCACGUGUAGCAGUGAAAUGCGUAGAGAUGUGGAGGAACACCGAUGGCGAAGGCAGCCCCCUGGGUCAAGAUUGACGCUCAUGCACGAAAGCGUGGGGAGCAAACAGG
Molecule: ribosomal RNA, 253 nt
Filed under: uncultured bacterium
Lineage: Bacteria
Description: partial 16S ribosomal RNA
Rfam family: Bacterial small subunit ribosomal RNA
Source: RNAcentral